GUUUCUGUGUGUAUGUAAGAAAAGAAGUGUGUGUGUUUGCAUGCGUGUGAACGGGUUUGCAUUGUCUGUUUCUGUGUAUGUGUGCAAAGGAUGCAUUGUAUUUGUGUGUAAGGGUUGCAUUGUGUGUGUGUGUGUAAUGGAUGCAUUGUGUGUUUCUCUAUGUGUAAGGGAAGCAUGUUGUGUUUCUGUGUAUGUAUAGGGAUGCAUUGUGUGUGUGUGCGCGUGUAGUGUGAAAGAGCUCCCUGUCUUGGCCCCUGUCCUAUAGAGCUGCCUCUUCUUCUUAUUCCCC
Non-coding RNA from Pelobates cultripes (western spadefoot toad), 289 nucleotides. The record is from the annotation of a GenBank genome assembly. Lineage: Eukaryota; Metazoa; Chordata; Amphibia; Anura; Pelobatidae.